UACGGAGGGUGCAAGCGUUAUCCGGAUUCACUGGGUUUAAAGGGUGUGUAGGCGGAUAUUUAAGUCAGUGGUGAAAUCUCUGGGCUCAACUCAGAAACUGCCAUUGAUACUAUUUAUCUUGAAUAUCGUUGAGGUUGGCGGAAUAUAUCAUGUAGCGGUGAAAUGCAUAGAUAUGAUAUAGAACACCGAUUGCGAAGGCAGCUAACUAAACGAUUAUUGACGCUGAGGCACGAAAGCGUGGGGAGCAAACAGG
Molecule: ribosomal RNA, 253 nt
Filed under: uncultured bacterium
Lineage: Bacteria
Description: partial 16S ribosomal RNA
Rfam family: Bacterial small subunit ribosomal RNA
Source: RNAcentral